This 361-nucleotide unclassified non-coding RNA is filed under the name soil metagenome. RNAcentral describes it as "partial contains 5.8S ribosomal RNA, internal transcribed spacer 2, and large subunit ribosomal RNA". The stretch from base 1 to 120 matches the Rfam family "5.8S ribosomal RNA", at positions 35 to 154 of the family's 154-position model. The record is from RNAcentral.
GAUGAAGAACGUAGCGAAAUGCGAUAAGUAAUGUGAAUUGCAGAAUUCAGUGAAUCAUCGAAUCUUUGAACGCACCUUGCGCUCCUUGGUAUUCCGAGGAGCAUGCCUGUUUGAGUGUCAUUAAUAUAUCAACCUUCUCUUUUUUGAGUUGUUUGGAUGUGGGGGUUUGCUGGCCUCUUAAAUGAUUCAGCUCCCCUGAAAUGCAUUAGCAGAACAACCUGUUCAUUAGCGUGAUAAUUAUCUAUGCUAUUGAAUGUGAGGGCAGUUCAGCUUUCUAACCGUCCUUGGACAAUUCAUCAUUAAUGUGACCUCAAAUCAGGUAGGACUACCCGCUGAACUUAAGCAUAUAAUAAGCGGAGGA